UACAGAGGGUGCAAGCGUUAAUCGGAAUUACUGGGCGUAAAGCGCGCGUAGGCCGUCGAGUAAGUCGGAUGUGAAAUCCCCGGGCUUAACCUGGGAAUUGCAUUCGAUACUGCUUGGCUAGAGUGUGGAAGAGGGAAGCGGAAUUUCCGGUGUAGCGGUGAAAUGCGUAGAUAUCGGAAGGAACACCAGUGGCGAAGGCGGCUUCCUGGUCCAACACUGACGCUGAGGCGCGAAAGCGUGGGGAGCGAAC
This 250-nucleotide ribosomal RNA is filed under the name uncultured bacterium. RNAcentral describes it as "partial 16S ribosomal RNA". It matches the Rfam family "Bacterial small subunit ribosomal RNA", at positions 524 to 773 of the family's 1533-position model. The record is from RNAcentral.